Molecule: ribosomal RNA, 428 nt
Filed under: uncultured bacterium
Lineage: Bacteria
Description: partial 16S ribosomal RNA
Rfam family: Bacterial small subunit ribosomal RNA
Source: RNAcentral
GUGGGGAAUAUUGCGCAAUGGGGGAAACCCUGACGCAGCAACGCCGCGUGGGGGAAGAAGUCUUUCGGGAUGUAAACCCUUGUUGUACGGGACGAAGGAAGUGACGGUACCGUACGAGGAAGCCCCGGCAAACUACGUGCCAGCAGCCGCGGUAAUACGUAGGGGGCGAGCGUUGUCCGGAAUCACUGGGCGUAAAGCGCACGUAGGCGGGCUGUCAAGUCGGCCGUGAAAGGCAUGGGCUCAACCUGUGCAUGUCGGUCGAUACUGGCGGUCUGGAGUAUGGGAGAGGGAACUGGAAUUCCAGGUGUAGCGGUGAAAUGCGUAGAUAUCGGGAGGAACACCAGUGGCGAAGGCGGGUUCCUGGCCCAUGACUGACGCUGAGGUGCGAAAGCCGGGGGAGCGAACGGGAUUAGAAACCCGAGUAGUCC